Molecule: non-coding RNA, 68 nt
Filed under: Ananas comosus (pineapple)
Lineage: Eukaryota; Viridiplantae; Streptophyta; Magnoliopsida; Poales; Bromeliaceae
Source: RNAcentral
CCUCCUCCUCCUCCUCCUCCAUCUCCUCCAUCUCACCAUCUGGAGGAGGAAGAGGAAGAGGAAGAGGA